This 333-nucleotide long non-coding RNA is filed under the name Ananas comosus (pineapple). RNAcentral describes it as "long non-coding RNA (ACOM_LNC032274)". The record is from RNAcentral. Lineage: Eukaryota; Viridiplantae; Streptophyta; Magnoliopsida; Poales; Bromeliaceae.
GUAUUGGCUAUUGAGAGCUACAGAAGACAAAAAAGAGUUAGACUUAGUUUGGUAUUGAUACUCAUCUAUCUGACGUUAUUAAAUAAAAUAAAGUUAGAGUAAAAAUAUAUAGAGAUACAUUUUUACGUUCUCCGAUGGAACUGCAUAAUCGACUUAUCGCAAUAUGUAGAAAAUAAUAUUACGUACGAAAACAAACAAAAUAUUUUUCUAUCAUACUUUUUCACUGCACGUAUUAUAAUCUCUUCAUAAUUUCAAACGAAGCCUUAGAGCUAAAGCGUAUAGAAAUAUGUUUUUUCUUUUCUUUUAUUUAUAUGCGGAACCGUAAAAUUGUGU